ACUGACGCUGAGGAGCGAAAGCGUGGGGAGCGAACAGGAUUAGAUAGCCUGGUAGUCCACGCCGUAAACGGUGGGCGCUAGAUGUGGGGACCCUUCCAUGGUUUCUGCGUCGCAGCUAACGCAUUAAGCGCCCCGCCUGGGGAGUACGGUCGCAAGACUAAAACUCAAAGGAAUUGACGGGGGCCCGCACAAGCAGCGGAGCAUGCGGCUUAAUUCGAUGCAACGCGAAGAACCUUACCUAGACUUGACAUAUACGGAAAACAUGCAGAGAUGUAUGGUCCUAACGGGCCGUUUACAGGUGGUGCAUGGUUGUCGUCAGCUCGUGUCGUGAGAUGUUGGGUUAAGUCCCGCAACGAGCGCAACCCUCGUUCUAUGUUGCCAGCACGUAAUGGUGGGGACUCAUAGGAGACUGCCGGGGUCAACUCGGAGGAAGGUGGGGAUGACGUCAAAUCAUCAUGCCCCUUAUGUCUAGGGCUGCACGCAUGCUACAAUGGCUGGUACAAAGGGCUGCGAUACCGCAAGGUGGAGCGAAUCCCAAAAAGCCAGUCUCAGUUCGGAUUGGGGUCUGCAACUCGACCCCAUGAAGUUGGAGUUGCUAGUAAUCGCAGAUCAGCAACGCUGCGGUGAAUACGUUCCCGGGCCUUGUACACACCGCCCGUCACGUCACGAAAUCGGUAACACCCGAAGCCGGUGGCCUAACCGUAAGGAA
This 709-nucleotide ribosomal RNA is filed under the name uncultured Actinomycetes bacterium. RNAcentral's name for it is "bacterial SSU rRNA". It matches the Rfam family "Bacterial small subunit ribosomal RNA", at positions 739 to 1448 of the family's 1533-position model. The record is from RNAcentral. Lineage: Bacteria; Bacillati; Actinomycetota; Actinomycetes.